RNAcentral lists this ribosomal RNA (323 nucleotides) under uncultured Sandona. RNAcentral describes it as "SSU rRNA". The stretch from base 113 to 323 matches the Rfam family "Eukaryotic small subunit ribosomal RNA", at positions 744 to 955 of the family's 1831-position model. The record is from RNAcentral. Lineage: Eukaryota; Cercozoa; Glissomonadida.
GAUUUCUGGUUUGAUGCGCCUAGUCCGCCUCGUCAGAGUGUGAGUAUUGGUGCGCGUCUGCCAUCUUUCCGUUUAAAGUGGCUGGGGAUUCAUUUCCUUUGGCUACUCGAGACGGAUCAUUUACUUUGAAAAAAUUAGAGUGUUUCAAGCAGGCUUUAUGCUAUGAAUACAUUAGCAUGGAAUAAUAAUUUAGGACUUCGGUUCUAUUUUGUUGGUUUCUAGGACUGAAGUAAUGAUUGAUAGGGAUAGUUGGGGGUGCUAGUAUUCAGCGGCCAGAGGUGAAAUUCUCGGAUUCGCUGAAGACUAACUUAUGCGAAAGCAUU